UGAGUAACACGUGAGCAACCUACCUUCGAGAUCGGGAUAGCCCUGGGAAACCAGGAUUAAUACCGGAUGUGGUCACGACGGGACAUCCCGACGUGAAAAAAGGCGUAAGCCGCUCGAUGACGGGCUCGCGGCCUAUUAGCUUGUUGGUGGGGUAAUGGCCUACCAAGGCGACGAUGGGUAGCUGGUCUGAGAGGACGAUCAGCCACACUGGGACUGAGACACGGCCCAG
Molecule: ribosomal RNA, 229 nt
Filed under: uncultured bacterium
Lineage: Bacteria
Description: partial 16S ribosomal RNA
Rfam family: Bacterial small subunit ribosomal RNA
Source: RNAcentral